CGAGGGGCAGCAUGGUCUUAGCUUGCUAAGGCCGAUGGCGACCGGCGCACGGGUGAGUAACACGUAUCCAACCUGCCGUCUACUCUUGGACAGCCUUCUGAAAGGAAGAUUAAUACAAGAUGGCAUCAUGAGUCCGCAUGUUCACAUGAUUAAAGGUAUUCCGGUAGACGAUGGGGAUGCGUUCCAUUAGAUAGUAGGCGGGGUAACGGCCCACCUAGUCUUCGAUGGAUAGGGGUUCUGAGAGGAAGGUCCCCCACAUUGGAACUGAGACACGGUCCAAACUCCUGCGGGAGGCAGCAGUGAGGAAUAUUGGUCAAUGGGCGAGAGCCUGAACCAGCCAAGUAGCGUGAAGGAUGACUGCCCUAUGGGUUGUAAACUUCUUUUAUAAAGGAAUAAAGUCGGGUAUGGAUACCCGUUUGCAUGUACUUUAUGAAUAAGGAUCGGCUAACUCCGUGCCAGCAGCCGCGGUAAUACGGAGGAUCCGAGCGUUAUCCGGAUUUAUUGGGUUUAAAGGGAGCGUAGAUGGAUGUUUAAGUCAGUUGUGAAAGUUUGCGGCUCAACCGUAAAAUUGCAGUUGAUACUGGAUAUCUUGAGUGCAGUUGAGGCAGGCGGAAUUCGUGGUGUAGCGGUGAAAUGCUUAGAUAUCACGAAGAACUCCGAUUGCGAAGGCAGCCUGCUAAGCUGCAACUGA
RNAcentral lists this ribosomal RNA (691 nucleotides) under uncultured Bacteroidales bacterium. Its description in RNAcentral is "bacterial SSU rRNA". It matches the Rfam family "Bacterial small subunit ribosomal RNA", at positions 63 to 743 of the family's 1533-position model. Lineage: Bacteria; Pseudomonadati; Bacteroidota; Bacteroidia; Bacteroidales. The record is from RNAcentral.